This 1530-nucleotide ribosomal RNA is filed under the name Escherichia coli O104:H4 str. Ec11-4987. RNAcentral's name for it is "bacterial SSU rRNA". It matches the Rfam family "Bacterial small subunit ribosomal RNA". The record is from RNAcentral. Lineage: Bacteria; Pseudomonadati; Pseudomonadota; Gammaproteobacteria; Enterobacterales; Enterobacteriaceae.
AGAGUUUGAUCAUGGCUCAGAUUGAACGCUGGCGGCAGGCCUAACACAUGCAAGUCGAACGGUAACAGGAAACAGCUUGCUGUUUCGCUGACGAGUGGCGGACGGGUGAGUAAUGUCUGGGAAACUGCCUGAUGGAGGGGGAUAACUACUGGAAACGGUAGCUAAUACCGCAUAACGUCGCAAGACCAAAGAGGGGGACCUUCGGGCCUCUUGCCAUCGGAUGUGCCCAGAUGGGAUUAGCUUGUUGGUGGGGUAACGGCUCACCAAGGCGACGAUCCCUAGCUGGUCUGAGAGGAUGACCAGCCACACUGGAACUGAGACACGGUCCAGACUCCUACGGGAGGCAGCAGUGGGGAAUAUUGCACAAUGGGCGCAAGCCUGAUGCAGCCAUGCCGCGUGUAUGAAGAAGGCCUUCGGGUUGUAAAGUACUUUCAGCGGGGAGGAAGGGAGUAAAGUUAAUACCUUUACUCAUUGACGUUACCCGCAGAAGAAGCACCGGCUAACUCCGUGCCAGCAGCCGCGGUAAUACGGAGGGUGCAAGCGUUAAUCGGAAUUACUGGGCGUAAAGCGCACGCAGGCGGUUUGUUAAGUCAGAUGUGAAAUCCCCGGGCUCAACCUGGGAACUGCAUCUGAUACUGGCAAGCUUGAGUCUCGUAGAGGGGGGUAGAAUUCCAGGUGUAGCGGUGAAAUGCGUAGAGAUCUGGAGGAAUACCGGUGGCGAAGGCGGCCCCCUGGACGAAGACUGACGCUCAGGUGCGAAAGCGUGGGGAGCAAACAGGAUUAGAUACCCUGGUAGUCCACGCCGUAAACGAUGUCGACUUGGAGGUUGUGCCCUUGAGGCGUGGCUUCCGGAGCUAACGCGUUAAGUCGACCGCCUGGGGAGUACGGCCGCAAGGUUAAAACUCAAAUGAAUUGACGGGGGCCCGCACAAGCGGUGGAGCAUGUGGUUUAAUUCGAUGCAACGCGAAGAACCUUACCUGGUCUUGACAUCCACGGAAGUUUUCAGAGAUGGAAUGGUGCCUUCGGGAGCUGUGAGACAGGUGCUGCAUGGCUGUCGUCAGCUCGUGUUGUGAAAUGUUGGGUUAAGUCCCGCAACGAGCGCAACCCUUAUCCUUUGUUGCCAGCGGUCCGGCCGGGAACUCAAAGGAGACUGCCAGUGAUAAACUGGAGGAAGGUGGGGAUGACGUCAAGUCAUCAUGGCCCUUACGACCAGGGCUACACACGUGCUACAAUGGCGCAUACAAAGAGAAGCGACCUCGCGAGAGCAAGCGGACCUCAUAAAGUGCGUCGUAGUCCGGAUUGGAGUCUGCAACUCGACUCCAUGAAGUCGGAAUCGCUAGUAAUCGUGGAUCAGAAUGCCACGGUGAAUACGUUCCCGGGCCUUGUACACACCGCCCGUCACACCAUGGGAGUGGGUUGCAAAAGAAGUAGGUAGCUUAACCUUCGGGAGGGCGCUUACCACUUUGUGAUUCAUGACUGGGGUGAAGUCGUAACAAGGUAACCGUAGGGGAACCUGCGGUUGGAUCACCU